This is an RNA transcript of Cervus elaphus (red deer), 3512 nucleotides long. RefSeq lists it as uncharacterized. The transcript has 5 exons. The record is from RefSeq and is a predicted model, not a curated record. Lineage: Eukaryota; Metazoa; Chordata; Mammalia; Artiodactyla; Cervidae.
GCAGGGAACCAGCCAGGAAGGACAUGCUUAAAGCAUGAAGUCACCAGCUCCGAGGGCAAACCACCCAUGGAAAGAAGGUUCUUGUGCUGAGCGCCUCCGACAUGGCUCUCCGAGGCUUCGAGGAGCAGCAGAGAAAAUGCGAAGAAUCUACAAAAUGUUCUGCAGCUCUGCUCAGCUCUUGAAACUCAAAUAUUUGUUUUCUAUCAGGAAGUGGCUCAGAGGACGGGCACAGUCUCACAAAGUGCGUGAUCCGGGCACCAGCCAGGCGCCCCAGCGGGGUUCAGGAUGUCUUAGCCACGCCUCCAGUCAACACCUUUCGACAACAACUGCACCUGAGUCAGAGCUAAAGCCCUUCCUGGGCUUAGUCCGACCCUCCAGUUCACUCCCUUCGCCUCCAGAGUCCAGAGCAGUCCGGCGCCCCCUGCUGGUGACCUAUCUUGCUUCUCUUCUGAUGGAUUUAGGAACUGGACUGCCUUUCCCAGCACUGAAAACAGGAGCAUGCCAUUCUGCUGCAGGGCGGGAUGUCUCUGCAGCGUUUGCCUGGGAGGAACGUGUGCCCAGUGACUGGAGGAGACGCAGUGGCCAGCAUGCAGCAGGGUGGCCUGAGAACAGGAGGAUUCUUUACCACUGCGCCACGUGGGAAGCCCUGUUUCAGGAUUGUUCACACCAUCACCAUGUCGAGAGUAAAUAGACGGUGAAUCUUCAGAUAACAUGGUAAUGGAGGUCUCCCGGCAUGGCCUUCUUCACCAACAGAGACACCCUUCAGGCGUCACCCGCGGGGUUAUUCAGUGUCGCCAGCUGCCUCGGCUAGAGGGAAGACAUAACCUCCAAACAGCGGUUGCCCUCACUCACAAGCAUUGCAGCGUCUCUGCUGCAUCCUCUUGAGGCCUGUGGGCUCCGUCCGGACCCUCCUGAGAAAACCUUUGGUGGGGGUGGGGGAGGUGGGACAGUUUGGAUCAUGGCAUUGAGCCAAGGCGGUACUGGCAAGAAGAUGGGCACAGGGGCUUCCCUGGCAGUCCAGUGGUUAAGACUCCAAGCUUCCAGUGCAGGGGGCACAGGUUCAGUCCCUGGUCAGGGAACGAAGAUCCCACCUGGGAUUUGGGAGGGACAUUGCAUGGCCAAAAAUUUAAAAAUAAAUAAAUAAAAUAAAAGGAAUAGGAGUCGAGGUUGCCAGACAGCGAGCCCCCAAGAACAGUAAAAAGAAGAAGAUGGGCACGCAGUCGUUUCUGGUUCUGCUGUUAGCACACUCUGGGCUCUGGGACAAGCUCCCUCAGUCCUGUCUACCACAGGCCCUUCACCAUAGGACAGGGGUGACAGAAGGAGAAGCUCUUUGAAAAGUUUAGUGUUCUCCUUAAAAGUGCUCUCUAGCCAGUGAAAUUUUCCUAGAGACAAGUCUUAGUUUUCCUAUAACUCUCUCCUUCUUAAAGCGUUUAUUAUUAUUAUUUUUUAAUGUGUGUGUGGGGAAACCUGUGUACUCUUUCCACUUCCACCAUUUCCUAGUCAGGAUUUUUUUUUUUAAAGCAGCAUCUCCUCUGAAUUUCUCAGCAACCAUACUUUACCCUGUAGGUGGUUCUCAAUUCAGAGUUGAAAUUCAUAAGCAAACUGAUUUUUCUGAGCCUCAUGGUGGCUCACACAUUCAAAAAAACUCCAUGUGUCUGUCUUCUUGUCACUGUGAACUCUCCUCUUUCUCAUCAAUCUCUGAACGAAUCUCUCAGCAGCUCCUCCCCACAAUGAGCGCUUCCAAAUCAGUGUGAAACCCUUAAUUUAAUUAACACCAUCACAGUUUCUCAACAAGGGUAAAUGAGAUCAACUACACUUACACCAGAAAGGAAGGAAAUUAAUUUUCCUCCAUUGGGGGGAAAAAAAAAAGAAAGAAAGCUUUGCAAACUCAGCAAAUUCACCAUUGUCUUAGUGGGAAUCACAGAAGAUCCUGAAUCCAGGGGUCAGCAGGUCACGCAUCCUGGGUGGGUUUCAAAAUAACUCCAGAAAUACUGACAGCAACAACUGAAAAGAGACCCCAGGGGAAAGAUAUUCCUUAAGUAAAGGAAAAGGAUGGGGUUGUGAAAAGAGGGAAUUAACAUCACUAUCAGAAGUGAGGUUUGAUGCUGUAAUCUGCACGUAAAUAAAGCAUACUCAGAGCUCCUCUCUCACCAGUUUGAAGACUUCUGGUCAAUGUGUUGUUUAAAUCAUGAUCAGAAGGAGAUACCUAUCAUUUUCUAUUUUCUAGAACCAGAUUUUUAGGGGGUAAAAGGGAAGGGAUCCAGCACUUAGGAGAGAUUUACUGUAAAAUAUAAAAUAAGAUGAUUAAGACAGAAUGGAUCAUGUCUAGUAACCCUCAGCGUGCUCUAGGACCAAAAUGGGCCAAUUCAUGUGAAAGCUGGCUGGAGACGAGCAGGUAAAAAUCUGGGUGAAAGAGGCAUGGGGUCCAUCCCUGACCAGUGCUGGGAAAUAUGCCAACUGCAUCGUGUUUUCUGUGGAAGAAACACCCUGCCGUGAUGCUAGAAUGCAGUAGGAAACAGCUGUAUUCGAGAGAAGGAGAAACAGUCAUCUUGUUAUGCUUCCCUGUUAGACUCUCAGGCAGACACAUGCCAUCUUGAUUACUGUGCUUUUCAAAAGAUACAGAAAAGCUUGAGACAAUCCAGGAAGAGUGACCCAGGGGAAAAGAUAGAAAGUGUGAUGGGAAAGAGGUCCUAGAAGGGAAGGUGAAAGGAUCAGGACCACCAACCUAAAGAGGAAAGAGCAAGUGGUGAGGAAACACUGUUUUCAAACAUGACAGAUGUUUGGCAGAAGGAUACUGAUCCUAUGUUACCUGAGUAUGUGGAGGCCAGGACCGAAAAUGCAGAUGGAAAUCAGAGCAGCAAAUAAAUCGUCUGAUGGCUUUCUGGCUUCUGCCAGAAAGACCAAGGCCAAGGCCAAGCUCCCUCACAGUGACGCAGGGUCCCAUCUGGUGUCUCUCCUGCCAGUCACUGCGAACCCACGCUGGACACGUCAUCUGCCCCUGCUUUGAAUGUCUUUCACACGUUUUCACUAGUAGCGACAACUGGGAAUCUCUUCUGGGUGGUACCCUCUCCUCUAUCCGUCUCCCAGGAGCUCUCAACACAGCACUGGACCAGAGUUUGAACCCAAUUAAAGGUUGUUAAAUCAAUGAAGAAUUGAAGGAGGGAAUUCUUAAUGCCAAGAACAAAGACUAGGAAAGAGAUGUCUAAUAUGAAAAUUGGUUUUUUAAGAUUCUUUUUUUUUUUAUGUGGACCAUUUCUUUAAGUCUCUAUCGAAGUCGUUACUCUAUUGUUUUAUGUUUGGCUUUUUUUUUUUUUUGGCCGCAAAGCAUGUGGGAUCUUAGUUCCCUAACCAGGAAUUGAACCCAUACUCCCCUGCGUUAGAAGACAACGCCCUAACCACUGGGCAACCAGGGAAGGCCCUAAGAAGGAAUUCUAAAGUGAGAUGCUGUCUGUUGUAUUCUAGAAAUUCCCCUUCAUCCCCCCGAACUCAGUCUUCAGUAAAAUCUACAGUGC